Molecule: non-coding RNA, 84 nt
Organism: Hypsizygus marmoreus
Lineage: Eukaryota; Fungi; Basidiomycota; Agaricomycetes; Agaricales; Lyophyllaceae
Source: Rfam
GGCGGGUUAGCGUAAUGGUUAACGCGCCAGUUUCCGGUGGUAAGGAUCAGCUGGAGAUUCUGGGUUCGAGUCCCAGGCCUGUCG